This 704-nucleotide ribosomal RNA is filed under the name uncultured Gemmatimonadota bacterium. RNAcentral's name for it is "bacterial SSU rRNA". It matches the Rfam family "Bacterial small subunit ribosomal RNA", at positions 68 to 767 of the family's 1533-position model. The record is from RNAcentral. Lineage: Bacteria; Pseudomonadati; Gemmatimonadota.
GGGGCUCUUCGGAGUCCAGUGGCGAACGGGUGCGUAACACGUGAGCGACCUGCCCUCGUGCGGGGGAUAACCAGGGGAAACCCUGGCUAAUACCGCAUGAAGUCCGAGGUUUACGAACCUCGGAUGAAAGCCGCUUUCGGGCGGUGUGCGAGGAGGGGCUCGCGGCGUAUCAGCUAGUUGGUGAGGUAACGGCUCACCAAGGCGAUGACGCGUAGGGGGUCUGAGAGGAUGGCCCCCCACAUUGGGACUGAGAUACGGCCCAGACUCCUACGGGAGGCAGCAGUGGGGAAUCUUGCGCAAUGGCCGAAAGGCUGACGCAGCGACGCCGCGUGCGGGAGGACGCUUUUCGGAGUGUAAACCGCUGUCAGGAGGGAAGAAGGUCCAGGGGAGGAAAUGCUCUUGGGAUGACGGUACCUCCAGAGGAAGCACCGGCUAACUCCGUGCCAGCAGCCGCGGUAAUACGGAGGGUGCGAGCGUUGUUCGGAAUUAUUGGGCGUAAAGCGCACGUAGGCGGCUUUGUAAGUCUCACUGUGAAAGCCCGGGGCUCAACCCCGGGAGGCCAGGGGAUACUGCGAAGCUGGAGACAGGUAGAGGCUGGUGGAAUUCCGGGUGUAGCGGUGGAAUGCGUAGAGAUCCGGAGGAACAUCUGAGGCGAAGGCGGCCAGCUGGACCUGAUCUGACGCUGAGGUGCGAAAGCGUGGGGA